RNAcentral lists this ribosomal RNA (395 nucleotides) under Cryptosporidium environmental sequence. Its description in RNAcentral is "SSU rRNA". It matches the Rfam family "Eukaryotic small subunit ribosomal RNA", at positions 665 to 1064 of the family's 1831-position model. The record is from RNAcentral. Lineage: Eukaryota; Apicomplexa; Conoidasida; Eucoccidiorida; Cryptosporidiidae.
UGUUAAUAAUUUAUAUAAAAUAUUUUGAUGAAUAUUUAUAUAGUAUUAACAUAAUUCAUAUUACUAUAUAUUUUAGUAUAUGAAAUUUUACUUUGAGAAAAUUAGAGUGCUUAAAGCAGGCAUAUGCCUUGAAUACUCCAGCAUGGAAUAAUAUUAAAGAUUUUUAUCUUUCUUAUUGGUUCUAAGAUAAGAAUAAUGAUUAAUAGGGACAGUUGGGGGCAUUUGUAUUUAACAGUCGGAGGUGAAAUUCUUAGAUUUGUUAAAGACAAACUAAUGCGAAAGCAUUUGCCAAGGAUGUUUUCAUUAAUCAAGAACGAAAGUUAGGGGAUCGAAGACGAUCAGAUACCGUCGUAGUCUUAACCAUAAACUAUGCCAACUAGAGAUUGGAGGUUGUU